Molecule: ribosomal RNA, 429 nt
Filed under: Bacteroidota bacterium
Lineage: Bacteria; Pseudomonadati; Bacteroidota
Description: Bacteroidetes bacterium partial 16S ribosomal RNA
Rfam family: Bacterial small subunit ribosomal RNA
Source: RNAcentral
UAGGGAAUCUUCCGCAAUGGACGCAAGUCUGACGGAGCAACGCCGCGUGAGUGAAGAAGGAUUUCGGUUCGUAAAACUCUGUUGUUAGAGAAGAACAGCGCAUAGAGUAACUGUUAUGCGUGUGACGGUAUCUAACCAGAAAGCCACGGCUAACUACGUGCCAGCAGCCGCGGUAAUACGUAGGUGGCAAGCGUUGUCCGGAUUUAUUGGGCGUAAAGCGAGCGCAGGCGGUCAAUUAAGUCUGAUGUGAAAGCCCCCGGCUCAACCGGGGAGGGUCAUUGGAAACUGGUUGACUUGAGUGCAGAAGAGGAGAGUGGAAUUCCAUGUGUAGCGGUGAAAUGCGUAGAUAUAUGGAGGAACACCAGUGGCGAAGGCGACUCUCUGGUCUGUAACUGACGCUGAGGCUCGAAAGCGUGGGUAGCCAACAGG